This 468-nucleotide ribosomal RNA is filed under the name uncultured bacterium. RNAcentral describes it as "partial 16S ribosomal RNA". It matches the Rfam family "Bacterial small subunit ribosomal RNA", at positions 28 to 507 of the family's 1533-position model. The record is from RNAcentral.
GACGAACGCUGGCGGCGUGCUUAACACAUGCAAGUCGAACGGAAAGGCCCUGCUUUUGUGGGGUGCUCGAGUGGCGAACGGGUGAGUAACACGUGAGUAACCUGCCCUUGACUUUGGGAUAACUUCAGGAAACUGGGGCUAAUACCGCAUAUGAUCUCCUGCUGCAUGGUGGGGGUUGGAAAGUUUCGGCUGUUGGGGAUGGACUCGCGGCUUAUCAGCUUGUUGGUGGGGUAGUGGCUUACCAAGGCUUUGACGGGUAGCCGGCCUGCGAGGGUUACCGGGCACAUUGGGACGGAGGUACGGACCAGACUGCUACGGGAGGCAAGAGGGGGGAAUCUUGCGCAACGGGGGGAAGCCUGAUGCAGCAACGCCGCGUGCGGGAUGACGGCCUUCGGGUUGUAAACCGCUUUCGCCUGUGACGAAGCGUGAGUGACGGUAAUGGGUAAAGAAGCACCGGCUAACUACGUG